CCGUUCUCAGUUCGGAUUGUAGGCUGCAACUCGCCUACAUGAAGCCGGAAUCGCUAGUAAUCGCGGAUCAGCAUGCCGCGGUGAAUACGUUCCCGGGCCUUGUACACACCGCCCGUCACACCACGAGAGUUUGUAACACCCGAAGUCGGUGAGGUAACCUUUAUGGAGCCAGCCGCCGAAGGUGGGAUAGAUGAUUGGGGUGAAGUCGUAACAAGGUAGCCGUAUCGGAAGGUGCGGCUGGAUCACCUCCUUUCUAAGGA
RNAcentral lists this ribosomal RNA (260 nucleotides) under Solibacillus silvestris. RNAcentral describes it as "partial 16S ribosomal RNA". It matches the Rfam family "Bacterial small subunit ribosomal RNA", at positions 1282 to 1533 of the family's 1533-position model. Lineage: Bacteria; Bacillati; Bacillota; Bacilli; Caryophanales; Caryophanaceae. The record is from RNAcentral.